GGGGCCAUAGCUCAGCUGGGAGAGCGUCGCACUGGCAGUGCGAAGGUCAGGGGUUCGAGCCCCCUUGGCUCCACCA
This 76-nucleotide transfer RNA is filed under the name Acidobacteriota bacterium. RNAcentral's name for it is "Acidobacteria bacterium tRNA-Ala". It matches the Rfam family "tRNA". From Rfam's summary of the family: Transfer RNA (tRNA) molecules are approximately 80 nucleotides in length. Their secondary structure includes four short double-helical elements and three loops (D, anti-codon, and T loops). Further hydrogen bonds mediate the characteristic L-shaped molecular structure. tRNAs have two regions of fundamental functional importance: the anti-codon, which is responsible for specific mRNA codon recognition, and the 3' end, to which the tRNAs corresponding amino acid is attached (by aminoacyl-tRNA synthetases). tRNAs cope with the degeneracy of the genetic code in two manners: having more than one tRNA (with a specific anti-codon) for a particular amino acid; and 'wobble' base-pairing, i.e. permitting non-standard base-pairing at the 3rd anti-codon position. The record is from RNAcentral. Lineage: Bacteria; Pseudomonadati; Acidobacteriota.